Molecule: ribosomal RNA, 166 nt
Filed under: Lysinibacillus fusiformis
Lineage: Bacteria; Bacillati; Bacillota; Bacilli; Caryophanales; Bacillaceae
Description: 16S rRNA. Bacterial SSU
Rfam family: Bacterial small subunit ribosomal RNA
Source: RNAcentral
CUGGCUCAGGACGAACGCUGGCGGCGUGCCUAAUACAUGCAAGUCGAGCGAACAGAGAAGGAGCUUGCUCCUUCGACGUUAGCGGCGGACGGGUGAGUAACACGUGGGCAACCUACCUUAUAGUUUGGGAUAACUCCGGGAAACCGGGGCUAAUACCGAAUAAUCU